This 465-nucleotide ribosomal RNA is filed under the name uncultured bacterium. RNAcentral's name for it is "partial 16S ribosomal RNA". It matches the Rfam family "Bacterial small subunit ribosomal RNA", at positions 28 to 507 of the family's 1533-position model. The record is from RNAcentral.
GACGAACGCUGGCGGCGUGCUUAACACAUGCAAGUCGAACGGAAAGGCCCUGCUUGCAGGGUACUCGAGUGGCGAACGGGUGAGUAACACGUGGGUGAUCUGCCCUGCACUUCGGGAUAAGCCUGGGAAACUGGGUCUAAUACCGGAUAGGAGCCAUUUUUAGUGUGAUGGUUGGAAAGUUUUUUCGGUGUAGGAUGAGCUCGCGGGCUAUCAGCUUGUUGGUGGGGUAAUGGCCUACCAAGGCGGCGACGGGUAGCCGGCCUGAGAGGGUGGACGGCCACAUUGGGACUGAGAUACGGCCCCGACUCCUACGGGAGGCAGAAGUGGGGAAUAUUGCACAAGGGGCGCAAGCCUGAUGCAGCGACGCCGCGUGGGGGAUGACGGCCUUCGGGUUGUAAACUCCUUUCGCUAGGGACGAAGCUUUUUGUGACGGUACCUAGAUAAGAAGCACCGGCUAACUACGUG